This 26-nucleotide small RNA is filed under the name Bombyx mori (domestic silkworm). RNAcentral's name for it is "ovarian small RNA-34518". Lineage: Eukaryota; Metazoa; Arthropoda; Insecta; Lepidoptera; Bombycidae. The record is from RNAcentral.
UGGAAUUUGAUGUGUAGUUUCUCAUA